Non-coding RNA from Cinara cedri, 234 nucleotides. NCBI's taxonomy places the organism in Eukaryota, Metazoa, Arthropoda, Insecta, Hemiptera, Aphididae. The record is from the annotation of a GenBank genome assembly.
CUUCUGUUUAUUUUUAAUCAUUAUGGAAUCGGAUAAUUUUGAUUUUAAAACCAUUUUGUAAUUUUUACUCUUACUCCAUAAACUUUAAAUAAGUAUAUACUAUUGUUUUUCGAAUAGGAACGCCCCUUUUUGAACACAGAUCUGAAUGGAGAAUAUUUUUCUAGAGUUUUUGAUAUGCAUAACACUAAUAAAAAAUGUAUUAUUUACAGUGACGCAACCAGGAUUUAACUUUUU